UCUGGGUCCUUUUCGCUAGCCGGUUUUGACAAAGAUUCUUUCCUUC
Molecule: ribosomal RNA, 46 nt
Filed under: Capsicum annuum
Lineage: Eukaryota; Viridiplantae; Streptophyta; Magnoliopsida; Solanales; Solanaceae
Description: partial 18S ribosomal RNA
Source: RNAcentral